Molecule: ribosomal RNA, 462 nt
Filed under: uncultured bacterium
Lineage: Bacteria
Description: partial 16S ribosomal RNA
Rfam family: Bacterial small subunit ribosomal RNA
Source: RNAcentral
GACGAACGCUGGCGGCGUGCUUAACACAUGCAAGUCGAACGGUAAGGCCUUUCGGGGUCCACGAGUGGCGAACGGGUGAGUAACACGUGGGUGAUCUGCCCUGCACUUCGGGAUAAGCCCGGGAAACUGGGUCUAAUACCGGAUAGGACUGCGCGGUGCAUGCCGUGUGGUGGAAAGAUUUAUCGGUGCAGGAUGGGCCCGCGGCCUAUCAGCUUGUUGGUGGGGUAAUGGCCUACCAAGGCGACGACGGGUAGCCGGCCUGAGAGGGCGACCGGCCACACUGGGACUGAGACACGGCCCAGACGCCUACGGGAGGCAGCAGUGGGGAAUAUUGCACAAUGGGCGCAAGCCUGAUGCAGCGACGCCGCGUGAGGGAUGACGGCCUUCGGGUUGUAAACCUCUUUCAGCAGGGACGAAGCGUGAGUGACGGUACCUGCAGAAGAAGCACCGGCCAACUACGUG